AUGAAAAGUAUUAAAUUAGAAAACAUGGCUCAGUUGAUCUUAGUUAGUCUUGGGAAUGGAGUGGAAAAAGGGCGAAGACUUUCGAACGAGGAAAAUGAUCCCUUUGAAAGAAUUGACCGAGGAGCCGUAAAAAUCUCACGUACGGUUCUAUAA
RNAcentral lists this ribosomal RNA (153 nucleotides) under Triticum aestivum (bread wheat). RNAcentral describes it as "partial small subunit ribosomal RNA". Lineage: Eukaryota; Viridiplantae; Streptophyta; Magnoliopsida; Poales; Poaceae. The record is from RNAcentral.